UACGAGAGGGCCGCUACCACGCGAGUGGAUGCCAAUCCUAAAACCCCUCUCAGUUCGGACUGGAGUCUGCAACCCGACUCCACGAAGCAGGAUUCGCUAGUAAUCGCGCAUCAGCCACGGCGCGGUGAAUACGUUCCCGGGCCUUGUACACACCGCCCGUCAAGCCAUGGGAGCCGGGGGUGCCUGAAGUGCGUAACCGCGAGGAUCGCCCUAGGGUAAAACUGGUGACUGGGGCUAAGUCGUAACAAGGUAUC
This 254-nucleotide ribosomal RNA is filed under the name uncultured bacterium. Its description in RNAcentral is "partial 16S ribosomal RNA". It matches the Rfam family "Bacterial small subunit ribosomal RNA", at positions 1238 to 1500 of the family's 1533-position model. The record is from RNAcentral.